Molecule: transfer RNA, 73 nt
Filed under: Fibrobacter sp.
Lineage: Bacteria; Pseudomonadati; Fibrobacterota; Fibrobacteria; Fibrobacterales; Fibrobacteraceae
Description: tRNA-Asn
Rfam family: tRNA
About the family: Transfer RNA (tRNA) molecules are approximately 80 nucleotides in length. Their secondary structure includes four short double-helical elements and three loops (D, anti-codon, and T loops). Further hydrogen bonds mediate the characteristic L-shaped molecular structure. tRNAs have two regions of fundamental functional importance: the anti-codon, which is responsible for specific mRNA codon recognition, and the 3' end, to which the tRNAs corresponding amino acid is attached (by aminoacyl-tRNA synthetases). tRNAs cope with the degeneracy of the genetic code in two manners: having more than one tRNA (with a specific anti-codon) for a particular amino acid; and 'wobble' base-pairing, i.e. permitting non-standard base-pairing at the 3rd anti-codon position.
Source: RNAcentral
UGCUUCAUAGCUCAGUCGGUAGAGCAUUCGGCUGUUAACCGAAUUGUCCCUGGUUCGAGCCCAGGUGAAGCAG